AGAGGAGCCUGAUGGGCAGCAGUCCAUGAGGUGGCUGAGUCGCACACGACUGACGCUCCAGUGGUUAGGACUCGGUGCUGUCACUGCUGUGGCCCAAGUUCAAUCCCUGGUUGAGAAACUAAGGUCCUGUAAGCUGUGCAGCAUGGGAGGACAACAGAAACCAAAGCAAAAGAACUGGAGUGCCACAGUGGGACAUCAGUGGACCUCAGGGAUACUGUCCUGCAAUAUUUAUAUAAGACUGUGUCUGCAUUUAUCUGGGAGAGGAGCUAUUAAGAAUUCAACCAACCUUGCUUAAAAAAGGCUAAGAACUAGUAUGUUAAAUUCUGUAUUUGUUUUUUUUAACAGAGAUUGGCUGGAGGGAAAACAUUCUGGCUGGGAUCAUUCUUAAAUUCAUGUUCAGAUGGCUACUCAAAAAUCCAAACCUCCAUACGGAGCCCACACUGCAUAUUGGACACUGCUGCUCUAAUGUCUUGAUGGCCUAUCUUCCCACUGACCAGACUGUCCCUACAAGGUCACUGCUGCUCUUCAUCUUGGCUUCGGCCCAAGGAUGGAGGCUCUCCUUGGGGCUGGUCCUGUGCAGCUAAAGGCAAAGCAGAACUUCAGACUGUACUCCUCAGCAGGUAACAGACUUUUUGAUAUUCACAAGGACAAAGAUAAAACUAAGCUGAAAAUUCCAGAGAAAGCAAGUGUCCUAAGAGGACAAAUUUACAAAUACAGCUCUGGAAUUUAGCCAAGAGGCAGAGGGAUGAAGGCAAGGCAGGAGGCGCUGCUGUGUCCCCGCACCUGCCAGCCUGGCUGUCUCACCUGCUGGAGAAAAGAAAUGAAGUGUCUGUGCCCCAGCACUUCACGGAGGCAGCUGCAGCCUCUUCCACUUGGCUCUAAAUACCUCCAUUCCCUCCCUUCAUUAUAAAAUGAACUAAACCACAUUACAGAAAGUUUAGAAAAUAAAUAAGGAAACUGUUAUUCUGUACUUUAUUGCAAUCA
Long non-coding RNA from Bubalus bubalis (water buffalo), 984 nucleotides. RefSeq lists it as uncharacterized. NCBI's taxonomy places the organism in Eukaryota, Metazoa, Chordata, Mammalia, Artiodactyla, Bovidae. The record is from RefSeq and is a predicted model, not a curated record. The transcript is spliced from 2 exons.